RNAcentral lists this ribosomal RNA (269 nucleotides) under uncultured prokaryote. RNAcentral describes it as "partial 16S ribosomal RNA". It matches the Rfam family "Bacterial small subunit ribosomal RNA", at positions 524 to 792 of the family's 1533-position model. The record is from RNAcentral.
UACGUAGGGUGCGAGCGUUGUCCGGAUUUAUUGGGUUUAAAGGGUGCGCAGGCGGGAGAUUAAGUCGGCGGUGAAAUUUUGCAGCUCAACUGUAAAAGUGCCUUCGAAACUGGUUUCCUUGAGUGUAGAUGAAGUAGGCGGAAUUUGUGGUGUAGCGGUGAAAUGCAUAGAUAUCACGAGGAACUCCGAUUGCGCAGGCAGCUUACUAAACUACUACUGACGCUCAGGCACGAAGGCGUGGGGAUCAAACAGGAUUAGAUACCCUGGUA